Molecule: long non-coding RNA, 2136 nt
Filed under: Dendronephthya gigantea
Lineage: Eukaryota; Metazoa; Cnidaria; Anthozoa; Malacalcyonacea; Nephtheidae
Description: uncharacterized LOC114532453, transcript variant X1
Source: RNAcentral
AUAGCUGAGCGCAACGCUCAACAGAAUUAUUGCUUUGUAUUUAUCAAGUUUUCUAUCGGGUAUCUUUGCUUUUUCGAUAUUAUAGUCUUUUUCAAAUCCCCUCACAACAAAAUAAAUAGCAAAAGCAUUAAAUUUAAAGGAGGAACAUUGAACAUUUUUCUCGCUGAAAACAGACACUUUGCGUCGAGAAAUGUUUGCUGAUACAACCAAAUUGAAAGCAGCUGUUUUAGCCUGGACCAGAAUGCAGACUGGGUAUUCAUCCUUGUCAGGGUAUUCAUCUUUCCAGGAUUGGAAGGUCAGCAAUCGCCUCUUGGCACUGCUGGUUGGUCCCUGAAAGAGAGAAUAAUCUUUUGGUGUCUUCUCUGAUUCCUUGAACCAAACUUUUUUAACAGAAUUCAUAGCAGUAUCUUUUCCAGAAGUUCUCUAGAUAAAAAAACUUGUAUAUUAAAAUAUGAAUGAUUUUCGAAGUAUUUAUUGUGAUGAUGCAUUGUGUACGUCAAUUAUCUCAGUGUUGAGCAUCUCUAAGGAUACAAAACCUGUUCUUUGGUGUCUGUUGUUUUUUCAUAGGCAUAACUGUCAAUAAUAUUAUCAUAUCCGCCUGUAUAAUUGAAAGAGUUUUUCACGACCGUCAACCAAUAAAAGAAUAUUUGCAAAACAGAAAUGCCCCUACAGUUUUGCAAUAUGAUGUACAUACCUUCUAUGGAUGAUAUUUCACAAGUUACUGAGCUUGGAAGUAUUGGUGGUAUUGACCUGUCAUAGAGUACAUGAAAUAUUGCAAAACAGAAGCAUGGCAAGGCUUUUAGAGACAUUCUAAUCUGGAUACCAUCAUCAGGAGAGUAAUUAUGGUAGUUCUAGAACUCUCUUGAAGAGGACCCUUGUUAAAUAAGUCAUGAUCAAUAAUUUGGAAGACCAGAACCGAAUAAAGAUCAGGACAAUUUGUACCUUGAUAUAUCUUCACUUUGCUCGCUGUUCCUAAGAGGACUUUCUAUGGUUUAAAAUAGAUUAACAAUGAACAUAAUUAAAACAUUGAAGUGUCAGUAUAAAAAUACAAUGGGAUGAAAACAGACUUCACCUUACCUGGUGCCACCGUUUUGGACCGUGUUGAAUAUUUCCUAAGUGGCUGUUUCUUUGAAUAGGUCUUUAUGGUUUUAUCAUUCUCAUAGUCAGGUAUAUCCCAGUCAAUAUUAAAAUCAUUAGGUUCAUUAGUACUCUUUUCAGUUCUAAGACGAUUGAUAGCGGCUGUUUUGCUUCUUGUUUUUACUGGCAUCGCUAAAAGAAAGCUGAAUGAUAACUGACGUCAAAAAUUGGUCUUACUUUUAACGCUGUUUUGUCCCGGCUAUCUAUUACGUUUUAAAUUUUACAUUUUAUUACGUAUUAUAACUAAUAAAGAAACGACCAAUAGUACAUAGCAGUAAAUGCAAUUAAUUGAAAUUGAUUCCUUACCUCUGAAGUCUGAACUAUGCUCUGAAAGAUAUAAACUUGAACGAGCUCUGCUUUAUUUUAUAGUUUGCUGCUUCGCCUGUCAGCCUUUUGUUUUCACUCUUGUGUAUGUUUGAUACACGUGAAUUAUAUCAAUGCUCAUGAUUGGUCACCUGAACAAUCUACUAACUUCUUAGCCAAUCACCAUCUUCGUCAAUAAGCGCCAUAAAUUGGCGCCAAAAACUAAAUUUUAGUUCAGUGAAAAGUUUGAAACAGAUGAAUUUUGAUUUGAAAGCUUGAAAAAAAAGCAUGUCUGUACAGUAUCUCUAUGAAGUAUCUUCGCCGUCAUUUCAAAUGGUGCCACAUUCACCAUUCAUUAGAAAACCUUGCACCGUUGUUUCUUCACCAGUCGCGAUUGUCCCUGAUAUAGACACCGGUGAAACUCUCAGUUCGAAGAAAGACUUCAGUUAUAUCGGCAAACAAACUCAACUUUUUACCAUGGAGAAAUCAUCACCCGUGGCAACUGGCAGAGUACCUUCCGUAUCUCCAAAGACACCACUGAAUAAUAUUACAAUACAAGCAAGAGAGCAACAAGUUCCAAGCCAAACGCCAUCAGGAAACCUGUCGUGUAAAGCACCACCUCUCAAUCUUUUCUCUGACGAUGACUGUAUUUUCUUAUAGCUUAAUACAACUUUAUUAAUACAAAGAGCUAUUCCU